Molecule: non-coding RNA, 21 nt
Filed under: Caenorhabditis elegans
Lineage: Eukaryota; Metazoa; Nematoda; Chromadorea; Rhabditida; Rhabditidae
Source: RNAcentral
UGAGACUGAAUUUUUUUAAAA